RNAcentral lists this ribosomal RNA (368 nucleotides) under uncultured phototrophic eukaryote. Its description in RNAcentral is "SSU rRNA". It matches the Rfam family "Bacterial small subunit ribosomal RNA", at positions 524 to 896 of the family's 1533-position model. The record is from RNAcentral.
UACGGGAGUGGCAAGUGUUAUCCGGAAUUAUUGGGCGUAAAGCGUCUGCAGGUGGAUAAUUAAGUCUUAUGUCAAAUUUCUAGGCUCAACCUGGAGUCGGCAACAGAAACUACUUAUCUCGAGUAUGGUAGAGGUAAAGGGAAUUUCAAGUGGAGCGGUGAAAUGCGUAGAUAUUUGAAAGAACUCCAAUAGCGAAGGCACUUUACUGGGCCAUUACUGACACUCAGAGACGAAAGCUAGGGGAGCAAACAGGAUUAGAUACCCUGGUAGUCCUAGCUGUAAACGAUGGAUACUAGAUGUUGCGUAUAUAUACAGUGUCGUAGCUAACGCGUUAAGUAUCCCGCCUGGGAAGUACGCUCGCAAGGGUG